CAACAUGAUGAUACUACACCUUUUUAUUUAUUUCUGGUACCUCUUAUGUCAGAGGGAGAUCCUUGUGGUCUUCCUCGAUGAUCUUAAUGGACUUCUGAUA
This 100-nucleotide small nucleolar RNA is filed under the name Aspergillus clavatus NRRL 1. RNAcentral's name for it is "A. fumigatus snoRNA Afu_264". It matches the Rfam family "A. fumigatus snoRNA Afu_264". The record is from Rfam by way of RNAcentral. Lineage: Eukaryota; Fungi; Ascomycota; Eurotiomycetes; Eurotiales; Aspergillaceae.